Long non-coding RNA from Lycium ferocissimum, 498 nucleotides. RefSeq lists it as uncharacterized. The transcript is spliced from 3 exons. The record is from RefSeq and is a predicted model, not a curated record. Lineage: Eukaryota; Viridiplantae; Streptophyta; Magnoliopsida; Solanales; Solanaceae.
UUUAGUUCAACCUUUGAUAGAAUCCUCCUGAUGUUAUUUAUAUUACAGAUACGUAGUGGACAGCUGGUCAGAAUUCAUUGACGUGCUACUCAUUGAAGGUUCUGCAUUUUAGCUGUUGUUGUUGAGAUAUGGCUCGAGGCAGAGGUCGAGGUAGCGGAGGUCGUGUAGGAAAGUCCUCAUUUAGGUGUGAUUCACAUCUCGGUCGUGCAAACAUGCCUACCAUUCCCAUUCCCACAUAAUUGCUUAGUCCUCAACAAGGUGGUACAAGUUCCGUAGGUGGGCCAGAUCCUAUAAACCAAGUUCAAACUUUAGGUGCGCCACCGGUUCAAGCCUCAGAUAUGGCUCGAGGAAAAGGUCGAGGUAGCGAAGGUCGUGUAGGAAAGUCGUCACUUAGGGGUAAUUCUGCUCGUCAUGCAAACAUGCCUACCAUUCCUAUUCCCACCACAGUUAGUCCUCAACAAGGUGGUACAAGUUCCGUAGGUGGGCCAGGUCCUAUAA